AAUGCAUGCUUUUUUUCUGGAAGUGGAAAGAGAAUGGGUGAGUGGAGGCAGCCCUUGGUACCUGGCUGCCUGGAGGGCAGAGAAGGUCCACAAAGGCUGGAGCAGCUGGUAUUUUCGCUGGAAGGCUGCUUCCAGGACAGCCCUGUGAUGCUUCCCAGCCACUCUUGUCUGCCUUUCCUGCCUUGUGAAUAUUAAAAGAAAAAAAUUUUAAUUGAAUGAAAGAUUCUUCAAAUUCUGUACUGCUUUACAAUUUUCUAAUGCCUUGUGAGUAUUUCCUACAAUUUUCAAAUGCCUCAUGAGUAUUUCCUGGAGGCUGGGAGGCCUCGUCCGAGCUGCUGCUCCCACGGUCUCCCCCCUGUUGAAUGCAUGACAUGACUCAGCAGUUUAUAGGCUGGGAAAUGUCAACUUUUUAAAAAGAGCUUGAGGGAAAAAGAAAAAUCCACGCUUGAGCCUGGGAGGUGCUAAAAAUAGGAACUUCCUAGCUUCCUGAAGAGCAGAUCAAUGAAUAAAUAGGCCAUAAACAAAUGUGGUUAUUUCUGCCAGGAGUUUUCUUUCUGCUGUCCCUGGAACUACAAUACACACAAAUACAAACUGAUAGGUUUUUAAUUAAUUGAAAAAACAUUUCUGGGAUUCCAUCUUUGUGUGGGGCAGUGGAUGCAACAGGCAGAUUCCUGAGAGGGUGGAGGUAACCUGAAGCAAAUCUUCCUUGGAUGUUAGGACAGGGAUGAAGGUCAGGGCCAUUCUGAGAACCUCAUCUUCUGCUCCAGAAAAUUCCCCAGAUCCCUUGGGAGUCACAGCCUCUAGUGUCCCGUUUGGGCUGCUCCAUCCGUCCACAUUUGGACUUGAGGUUGUGUAUGCUGGGGUGGGCUGGGAGACGGUGGGGGUUGGGGGGAUUUAACGUGGGCCUGGCUGGUGCAGGCGGCAGGCCUGAGAAGUCCUCUGGGCCCCGUCCUCCAGUGGCCUCUGUAAACGUGGGUCUUGUGUUGAGUGUCCUAGACCCCCAUCGGCAUCCCUCAGCAGCUUGCAGAAUCUCAGGCUGGGUCUCAGACCUCUGGGACCCACCUUUACACAAGCUCCCUGGAGGAUUAAAGUCUGAGAAGACUUGCCCUAGAACUCCAAAUCUGUGACUGACAAAUGCUCUCUGGCCUUAAACCUCCCUCCACAUUUUGGAGAAGCUGGAGAAGCUGUCUUUUUUGCCUCCUUUCUUCUAUUUCUUCCUUCCAACACAGCAGCGCCUAUGAGACUUCCUGCAGUACAGGCCCGGGUCCUGUCAGAACUGUGAAGGGUGGAGACUUUGCCUACUUCUAGGCUCACCAGGUAGCCUGUCAGUUUCGUGGAGGCUUCCAGAUGACAGAGGCCAGAUGACAAAGACUCCUGGAUUGGGAGGGAACAGAGGACUUUAUUACUCAUAGCACAGCAAGUAAGGUGAGAUUUUAAAAUAUAGUGUAUGAAUAGAAAAUCUGAGGCAGAGUAAAGGCCAACAGAUGGGGAAACCACUGCCACUUAAAAGAUGGUUCAUUGCUCACAGUUUCCAAGAGGAAGGGGCACGGCACACCAUGGGGGCCACACAGGGAAGCACCAGGGUCUUUCAGAGUGGAGGGAGUGUGGAGCCUUUGCUCCACAGGAAGGAAAGAGCGGGAGCAAGGCAGGGUAGCAGGCUUAGGACUGGCUGGUCUGAAUAAUUUCCAUGGGCUCUGGGGGUAGUUAUCUGGUGAUUAGGGCAAGGCACAGUGACCUGGUGUGUGAGGGCCCCCUAAAAGAGGUGAUUGAGGGUGUAGGCUCUGGAUUGGUUGGUUUGUAGUUGAAGAGCAUGUUCACAGGAGAGUCACUCACCAUGUCUAGGAAUUAGCUCUACCAGGAGGGGGCAGUAUCUCCAGGAUCAGCAAGGCCCCAGGUGUCAAAGCAUCUGAAUCCUGAAAACACAAGACAUGGUUAGUACUAGCUUGGUGUUUGCACUGGUUCCUCUCGUCCCCAAACCCCACAGGGGAUAAGACAGAGGGCCCAGGUGGAUGCUGCCCUGCAGUGGGUUUGUACCACAGCCAGGGACCUGGGCUCUGGGAACCUGCAUGUUUUAUAUCAGCAUGUUUUAUAAUCACCCAGCCUGUGCACCAGGGGUGACAUUACUUUUAUUUUCCUGGGCAAUAACUAAGCCACACUCCUCUGCUGGGAGACACCUACUUCUCCUUCUUCUCUUCCUCCUCUUCCUUCCCCAAGGCAGUUUGCUAUACAAACAUCUUUGACAGAUAGUCUGGAACAAAAGGGAGUUCCCUGGUGGUGCAGUGGGUUAAGGAUCCAGUGUUGUCACUGCUGUGGUGCAGGCUCGAUCCCUGGCCUGGGAACUUCUACAUGCUGCAGGUGUGGUUAAAAAUAAAAAUUAAAAUUAAAAAGUCAGUUAGUGGUUAGUGCCUCUGCUCACAAGCUGCAGAUAUGUGAGAAAUGCCCACUACCAGCUUAUACGCUCACUCUCAUUCCACUCAUUUCUUGUCAAGAAAUACCCACUGAGCACCUACUGUCUACAUCACACUUUCUUACUGUUGGAAACAUUGUUAAGAAGCUUGUCUCUGUUCUCAGGGGUUUCCAUCCAGUGAAGGAAGAUGAGGAAAGAGAGGAGUGGACAGGAGACCUAGAUCAUUCAGAGUGAUGUGAUCUGUGAAGGAAAUGGGGCAGGUGAUGUGACAGGGUGGAGGGGGUACAAUCCAGGCUGGGUGCUGGGGCAGUACUUGCUGGUGACUGCCAGCUUUCCUGAAAUCCAGUGAUUCUCAGUGUGGUCCCCAGACCUAUGGAAUCAGAAGCUCUGGGGGCAAGGCCAGAGAUCUGAAGUUUUAUGUGCCCUCCAGGGAUUCUGAUGGGAUUCAAGUUGAGAACCACUGGCAUAAGUCUGUCUCUAUGCAGUGGCCUGGUGAUGUUUUAAAGUCUUCCUCAAGCCCGCUGGCCUGGCCUGCCCCUCCUCUGGCUCCUGCUCGCCCUUCAGGCCACUUUCUUGGUGGGCCGGUCCUUGCCGCUGGCUGUGCUCCAAGGACUACGCCUUAGCCUCAGCCUCCCACUAUCACUCUCCUCCCAGGGAUGCUCCCCCACUGUGGCCAGACCUCUCCCACCUUUUGGGCCAAAGCCCAAAUAUUUCUCUGAGAGCUCCACCCCCACCUGGUCCACCAUGGACCCUUCCAGACACUCUUCGCCUCAUCGGCCUGUUCUCUGCAUGUAACAUGCUGGGCUUCUCACCCGCCUAGUUUACUUUCCAAGUACUGUCUUAUUGGUCAUCUCUCACAUGGCAAGCUAGAUGUUUCCAGUAUGGAAUUCAGCCCCUGAGACUUGUCAAAGAAAUAAAGGAAUGAUGUGAACAGUUCAGAUACUGAGUCUCCAGGUGAACACCACGCACAUGGGUGAGUUGAGGGUCAGGACCAAAUUCUGCCCAUCACCUGAAUGUUUUAAAUAAAGUUUUAUUGACACAGUCACAGCCUCUCAUUCACAUCCUCUAUGGUGGCUUUCCUGCAGUGGCUCUGACAAAAAUGGCUUUGGAAGCCAAAAAUUUUUGCUAUCUUUACAUAAAAAGUUCGCUGCUCCCAUCCUGGACCUCAGAGUCCUCCUGGGAAGGAAGAGUGGGGGCUGGGAGAGCAAGGAUACCCACUCCUUUCCCACCUGGGCAUCUAGGGUACCCCAUCACUUCCACCCACAUUGCACAGACCUCACCCCCCGCCUGCAAAUUUGCUGGGAAAUGUAGCACCUGGCAGGAAAGCGCAGUCCAGCAGCAUCCAUGCUCCAUGGAUGAGGAUGUGUGAGUGUUGGAGUCACCCCUCCUCAUUGCAUUUCUGGCCCCUCCUUCCAAGACUAAAGGCACAGCAGUUCUGAGACCUCAGACGACCUCACCCGCAAAGCGAGCUGGAUGCAUAUCCACACCCACCUCGGGCUGUAGAGAUGAAGAUGCAGAGACUCAGCAGUGAAGGGGGUCAAGAGCAAGCGCAGCUCCUCCCACUGCAGAGGAGAAUUCUCCACGUGGCUGGGAACCUCUGUGGGGAAGUGCACCAAGAGGCAGGUGUAUCCAUGCGGCUGGCUGCCACAUGACAGAAGUGCACCAAGAAGCAGGUGUAUCCAUGCGGCUGGCUGCCACAUGACAGGUACAAUCAGCCCUCUGUAUACAUGGGUUCCACAUUCAUGGAUUCAACCAAACUUGAAUCAAAAAUAUUUUUUAAAAAAUUCCAGAAUGUUCCAAAAGGCAAAACUUGAAUUUUCUGUAUACCAGCAGCUAUUUAUAUAGCAUUUACAUUAUGUUAAGUAUUAUAGGUAAUCUAGAAAUGACUUAAAGUAUAAAGGAGAAUGUAUAUAGGUUAUAUGCAAAUAUCCUAUCAUUUUAUAUGAAGGACUUGAACAUCCUCUGAUAUUGGUCUUUGCAGUGGGUCCUACAGCUAAUCCCUGUAGAUGCUGAGGGAUGACUGUACCCCAUGUGGCAGGCCGCACCUUGGUGUGGCCAUACCUACCAACACCGUGCCAGUUCAGAGAUCCCUGUAGAACAGACUGUUUCCCAGCUUCAGUACGAAAAGCCCCGGGAAGACCCCUGAUUGAGCUAGUUUCAGUCACAUGACCCAUGCUGGACCAAUCACUGUGUCCAGAGGUACAGUUUAUGGUAUGGUCAUGUGAUUACCAUGUGAUCUGGGUCAUGUAACAGGUAAAGAGAGGGAGGUGAGCAUGCUAUGAUUGGCAGCUCCCUCCCAUAGGAGGAGAUCUUUGCUGAAGGAAAGGGAAAAGAUGCUGGCAGACAAACAACAGAUGUUCUUGGCAGGGAGGACCUGAAUCGGAUUGGUUUUAGAGAUUACUGGCCAGGUGGCCAUGGGGAGGCGGGGCCUGCUGCUCUGAGAGCCCGGAUCUGGCCUGGUUGGAAGAGAUGUCUUUCAACUUGGUUAAACACAAGGGCAACUGCCCCACCUCUGGAUAAGAAUAACAACCAAAGCCAAGCUUUGGAAUGUUAUUUGAAAUUCAAAAUAGAUUAAGCCUCAGGAAGAUAAAUCAACCAAAUGAGCACUGCUUUGCUUCCAACCCACUCCCCUUCCUUCCGGAGGCAGCCAGGCAGCCACACUCUCCUGCUGGGAGAGAAAAGACUGAAACUUGAAUGGAGGGAGCAGUUGUGCUUAUGGGAAGGGACCAUCCCUGAAGUGUUUAGACCGGUGCUUCUCUCACUGUAAUGGGCCCAGGAAUCCCCUGGGGACUGUGUUAAAAUGCAGCUUCCGAUCCAGGAGGUCUGGGGCGGGGCCUGAGAUCCUGCUUCUACAGCGAGCUCCCAGGUGGUGGUGAUGCUCAGGUCCCCACACCCCACCUUGAGCCAUAACAGCUUAGAGCGUGGAAUCUUUGGGACAGGAUGAGAGUUGGAUGAAGCUGCAAGCUGGCUCAUGGAAACCACCAAGAAGGCCAGCUCAUGGUUCAUCUCAGACAGGCUGCUGUGCUGGAGCCAGGGGGACGGACGGGCAUUCUCUGCCUGCACUGCCUGAGCUCCUCGGGCCACUCAGACCUGCUGCUGGGCAGAACUUGUGGAGAGCCCCCAGGGAAGGCCAAUUAGAGCCUCUGGGGGGGACCCCUGUCCAGUCACCACAGGUCAGGACACCCAGAAGCCCCUUCCCAGCAGCAGGAAGGAAAGCGUGUCUCAAAGACACAGUGGUGGAGGGGAGUGGAGGUCUUUAUCAGCCCAGGGAGGAAGCAUUCAUUUCCUGGGGUGCUGCAACAUGUGGCACAAACUGAGAGGCUUAAAACAAAGGGAAUAUAUCCUCUCACCGUUCUGGGGGCCAGAAAACUGAAAUAAAGUGUCAGAGGCCUGCUCUCUCUCCAGGGCCCCUGGGGGAAUGCCUAUCCUUGCCUUCUCCACUUCAAGUGGCUGCCACGCUCCUGUUUGCCCAGCCCCUACCACUUGCCAUCUGCCACGGCCAGGUUCCCUGGGGGUGACCCUGUUUUCAUCCUUGACACCCAUAACACCCUUACUGUCCUGUGUCUGAGAAUGAGUGACCACUGUUAGAAAUGAGGUGAGGGCAGGCAGAAGACAAAGGGAAUAUGAUGGCUAAAAACCUGCAUUUUGACAGAACCACUGUUUUUUGUGAUGCUCUUGAUUUUAUUUUAUUAUUUUAUUUUAUUGAGGUUUACAAUAUCAUUAUAAAGAUUUACAAUAUUAUAUAAGCUUCAGGUGUGCGAUGUAGUGAUUGACAAUUUUUAAAGCUUGUACUCUAUAAACUAUUAUAAUAUUGUUAGUAUAAAAUGUCUACAUUCUCUGUUAUUAUAAAAUAUUAUCUAUGGAUAGCACAUUGGACUUCUAUAAAAUACUAUCUAUAUUCCAUGUACUAUACAAUAUACCCAUAUAGCUUAUAUAGUAGUUUGUAGUUUAUAUAGCUUACAUAGUAGUUUGUACCUCUUAACUCUCUAACCCCCUUCCCACUGGUAACCACUAGUUUAUUCUCUAUAUCUGUGAGUCUGCUUCUUUUUUGUUAAAUUCACUAGUUUGCUAUAUUUUUUAGAUUCCACCAUAUAAAUAAUAUCAUACAAUAUUUGUUUUUCUGAUUUAUUUCACUAAGCAUAGUACCGUCCUGGUCCAUCCAUGUUGCUACAAAUGGAAAAUUUCAUUCCUUUUAUGGCUGAGUAGUAUUCCAUUGUAUAUCUAUGUACCACAUCUUCUUAAUCCUUUCAUCUGUUGAUAGGCAUUUGGACUGCUUUCAUAUCUUGGUUAUUGUAAAUAAUCCUGUUGUGAACAUUGGGGGUGCAUGUGUCUUUUCAAAUUAGUGUUUUUAUUUUCUUCAGAUAAAUACCCAG
RNAcentral lists this long non-coding RNA (6780 nucleotides) under Sus scrofa (pig). RNAcentral describes it as "lncRNA (ENSSSCG00035029992.1)". Lineage: Eukaryota; Metazoa; Chordata; Mammalia; Artiodactyla; Suidae. The record is from RNAcentral.